Non-coding RNA from Hyaloscypha bicolor E, 160 nucleotides. Lineage: Eukaryota; Fungi; Ascomycota; Leotiomycetes; Helotiales; Hyaloscyphaceae. The record is from the annotation of a RefSeq genome assembly.
GGGGCGGUCGCUUAACGGUAAAGCACACGGUUCAAAUUUCAGAUCUCCAAUACGGCUUUGCAUACCUCGUGGUUGUGUGCUUCGUGGUUGCUCCCAUGCAGGUAAAUUGGAGUCUGAUUCGAAAGACUGUGGAAUGCCGGUUCGAAUCCCGCCUACUCCA